Molecule: long non-coding RNA, 944 nt
Filed under: Castor canadensis (American beaver)
Lineage: Eukaryota; Metazoa; Chordata; Mammalia; Rodentia; Castoridae
Description: lncRNA (ENSCCNG00000024248.1)
Source: RNAcentral
UCAACCAUCAAUGCAGUGAUUGAGUUCUUUGGAUCAAACAAGGGGUUGCAUCUUGAGCAGAUAACAUCAGCUACAUUGACAAAGUUGGAAAAAAUUAAAGAGAGAAACAGCUGCAGCUCAACAGCAAAGAUUCAGGUUUACAGAAGACUACAAAUUUAUGUAUGGGAGAAAUAAUAAAGCGUAUAACAAGUUUGAUGUUGAAAUAAAGAGUACGAAGCUUCUUUUGUCAAGAUCAGGAGCUCUUAAUCUGCCACUCCCAGCCCAGCAGGCCCAGCCCCGAGGACGCGGCUGCUGGCGAAAACUGCACUCCUCGGCUCUGGCCCUGCACUCCUCAGUCCUCCCCCUUCGCCUGGCUGCCCGGCCACCGCCCAACUCCAGCGUGACUCAGCUGGACCUGACUCUGACCCGUGACCAGGCGCAACCAUCAGGGGCAAGGACGCGUGCCACACAGACAGGGACCCGCGAUUUCAGGCUGCGCCCUCUCUCCGGCAUCCGCACUGCCUGUGGCUUCUGCGCGCAGCUGGAGCGUCCUCACAAGUGCCCCAAGGGGUCGGACACAUGCUGCCACCAUGUUGCUGUGGCCGCCUGCUGCCGGCGCUGAUGGGAGGAGGAAGAGGAGGAGGAGAUGGCGCCCUCCUGUCCCUGCCAGCCGCCGCCACCUGCGCGUUGCGAUCCCGAUCCCGCAGGAGUCGCGGUCUGGCCCGCGCCCGCUCUGUGUGCAGCAGAGAUGACGAGGACCAUGAAGGGGAAGGGACCGGAGCCCGUGGCCCGAGCGCCUGCAGGCCGAGGCCACCGUGACUCUGGGCAGCACCUGGUGGGGACUCCCUGCGCCUGGCCGCCCACAACAGUUGAGGCAGCGGUCGCCUCCGCCUCCUACUGCUGCGCUGAGAACGCGGCAGGAGGCGCCCUGGAGCCUUCGCGGUGGGCUGUCGCCUCAACCUCGU